UACGUAGGGACCAAGCGUUGUUCGGAUUUACUGGGCGUAAAGGGCGCGUAGGCGGCAAUUCAAGUCAUCUGUGAAAUCUCCGGGCUUAACUCGGAACGGUCAGAUGAUACUGCUUUGCUAGAGUACAGAGGGGGCAAUCGGAAUUCUUGGUGUAGCGGUGAAAUGCGUAGAUAUCAAGAGGAACACCUGAGGUGAAGACGGGUUGCUGGGCUGAUACUGACGCUGAGGCGCGAAAGCUAGGGUAGCAAACGGG
RNAcentral lists this ribosomal RNA (253 nucleotides) under uncultured bacterium. RNAcentral describes it as "partial 16S ribosomal RNA". It matches the Rfam family "Bacterial small subunit ribosomal RNA", at positions 524 to 776 of the family's 1533-position model. The record is from RNAcentral.